GGAUUGUAGCUCAGUGGUAGAGUGCUUGCCUUGCAUUCGUGAGGGCCUGGGUUCAAUCCUCAGCACCA
Molecule: transfer RNA, 68 nt
Filed under: Marmota monax (woodchuck)
Lineage: Eukaryota; Metazoa; Chordata; Mammalia; Rodentia; Sciuridae
Description: tRNA.Ala
Rfam family: tRNA (bases 5-65)
About the family: Transfer RNA (tRNA) molecules are approximately 80 nucleotides in length. Their secondary structure includes four short double-helical elements and three loops (D, anti-codon, and T loops).
Source: RNAcentral